This is an RNA transcript of Homarus americanus (American lobster), 4832 nucleotides long. RefSeq lists it as uncharacterized. The transcript is spliced from 14 exons. The record is from RefSeq and is a predicted model, not a curated record. Lineage: Eukaryota; Metazoa; Arthropoda; Malacostraca; Decapoda; Nephropidae.
AUGAAUAUAGAGUGGAUGUAUAAUGUACCACCACUCUGGUGGAUUAAUCUUCCCAUCAUUGGUUGAUCUUGCUGGAGAACACUCUAAGGGAUAAAAACUGCAGAAUACUAUACCACAAGUGCUACAGGCUGAUCACAAGAAGCAGAGUUGAGAAUAAUGGAUGAUGAUGAAUGGGAAGAACUUGAUGAAAGUGCAGUGGAGGAGUGCAUGGUUCUUGCCACGCAGAUGUGUUCUCGACUUUCUCAGAAUGAAAAUAUUUUGGAUCACAAGAAAAGCCCAAAUCCUGAAACAGCUGGGAAAGAUUAUUCCAAAAGUAUUACCACCAGAAAUUACCACAAUAAUCCAACAAAUACUUUUGAUGACAGUGGGUUUUCAAGCAUAAAAUGCAACAGUAAAAAUACUGCAAGCCUCUUGUCUAGCAAAAUAAAAAAUGCAGGAACAUUCGCGAAUAAACCAGGUACUCCAACAAAUAACAGCUAUAGUAGCAGGUUCAAUGACUUCAUCAUUCCAUGUAAUACUUCACAAAAAGCUAUCUCAGGAGCUGGAAGAUUACUUCAUGUUUCAGGCAAGGUAUAUAAUUCUAUCCCUAUGAAAGGAACUGGAGGAACUUUUAGCAGUACAAAAGGCUCUUGUCAGACUACCUGUCCUUCAGGGAGAUUGGAGGGGGAGGAGAAUCAACAGCAAUUACUGAAGAGGACAAAAUUGGAAAAAGACAAGGUUGAGGAAGAUCUCAUCUUAAAGCAAGGAGAGAUAGCUUUGUUACGGUCAGAACUGAAGAGAAAAGAGGCAAUUUUGGAAGCUGAGAGGCUAGAUCAUUGUACCGCAAUAAAGGCUGCAGAAAACAGAGGCAAGGAAAAGGUUAUGAAGUUUGCUACUGAAGCAGAAGCUAAAUCUAAAGAGAGUAUGAAAAUGGUGGAUAAGUUACAAGCGCAGCUUCUGUUUAAGAAUAGAGAGGCGGAGGAACUUUUAAGUCAAUGUCGCCAGUUAGAGCAGCAGACAAAGCAGCAUGUUUCACCUCACUCCCAUAGAAGCCCCCUCAAAAGAAAGCGUAUUGGAAGUGCCUCACCUCGGGUUUCCCCAGGAAAGAUGCACUCAAACUUUGCAUCGAGGUUUGACUUUGGUGGAGGCCGAACCAGUGUCUGCAGUGUUGAAGUACAAACUGAAUCCUCUUAUUGUAAAACUAAAGUGCAAAGAAGACUUACUGUUGUUUUACCCAGAGGUGAAGUAUCUGGCAGCAGACGAACUGCUUACCUUCUCUCAGCUGGUGCCUCGACUUUAUCAUUCGAAAAACAACCAACCACUAGCCUCUGUGGUACCACAAAUUGGAGCUUGCCCGGUGAAUGGUCAUAUUUGGCCUCACAGGCUACUGAGGAUAGUGUUAAUGUGGAGAACAAGCUGAUGACACUGGCUUUGGAAAGACUUCAGGAGGUGCAUUCACUCAUCACAUCAAAAUUGAAUGACAGUAACAGAUCACCAGUGAGCAACCCAGCCUCCCCAGUGGAUUGGUAUGAAAGUCAAGUUGGCCCGGCCCUUCAUGUGUUACAGUCAUUUAUGUCUCCACAUAAUUUGACUUUUGAACACAAAGCCCUUCAGAUCAUUAUAACCCAUCUUUCACCUCUGUGUAUUAAGGAAAUUGUUGUGAACAACAGAAUUCAUCAUAUGAUCUUAGAAACACUGAAGAAAGUAGCAAGAAUUUUAUCACCACCUGCAGAUAAAGUGGUAUGUGAGCAAAUAAUGGUAGCACUGAAAGAUUGUUGUGCCAGUAUUGACUCAAGCAAUGAUAUACUACACGUGUUGGAAGCUUUGGUGGAGUUGUCUCCCCAUUCCUCACUCACCAAUAUUGUGUGCUCCACCUCAGGUUCAUGUUUAGUUGGCAAUUUAUGUAGCUGUAUUGACAAGAUUUAUGAUUGUGGCCUUACCAUACCCACUGUGUUACUGAGCUGGAUAAUGAUAUUGGUGAAGAAGGCACCAUCCUGGCUACAGUCAACGUGUUGCUGCUCAGCCAAGCUUUUAACCACACUCCUUAAGCAAGUCCAUCAAGCAUUGGAUUUUUCUGAGCCUGAGAGAGGUACAGAAAUAAAAAAAAGGAAGUGUACAAGCUGCUGCUGUCCUCUGUCCGGGUGUUACACAAUUGGUCCAUGGUCGACCCCAACUGGUGGGAAAAAGUGGCUCAACUGCCUCAUUAUACUUCUUUAAUGAAUUUUAUCAUUGCCAAUGCCAAGGACAUUCAGCCUGACAGACAAACAGUUGAUCUUCUGUGUACCUUAUAUGAAGUUGAAGAUGGAACUUUUGAAAGCUGCUAACAUAAAGAUAGAAAGUAAGCGACUGUGACAUGGUUCUUUUGCCUUUGAUCAUAUUCCAUUUGAAGUGUCUCUGCUAUGUCGUCACAUAUAUACAUUUCACUCUCUCUGGCUGUUUUACCUUACUGAUACAGUACAUGAAAUACAGUAUACUGUAUCACCCUUCCCAAGACCAGUCUCAACAUAAUCUCCAACUCAUCUGUAAUCAACUCUGUCCAUAUUGUAUUCGUGCCAUACACUAUAACUCAUCUGCUCAACAUGUACCAAACAUUCACCCAACACACAUAGUUUUUCAACAAAGAUUCCACAGUACCUGUAGAUUUCUGGGAGCAAGUGGUGGUUUUAAACAAAUACUGUACCUAAGUUCCGGAAGCUUUGGAAUCAUGUGACAUACUAUAAAGUGUACAACAUAACAUAAAAGAAAUAAUAGCCUCCUGAUAGAGUAAUACUACAGGUACUGCAUUUUGUUCUCAUAUACAACUUCAGAAAAAAUGGACAAUCUGGUGCUUGAUAUCCUGGCUGCAAGUAGUCCAGUAGGUGACCAACAUUGUUUACAUUGGAUACUGCUAACUGGAAAAUUGUACUGUAUUUUACAGCAGGCUAAUGAAUCUCCCAGAUACUGUAUCCAGUAGGCUAAAUUUACCUAACCCAAUUCCUGAAUAAUAAUGUUAUUGUUUACUUAAACAUACUAUUAUUAUUAUAUUAUUAUUACUUUUAAGUAAUUCAAAAGGGAGUUAUUGAAAAAUAUUAAAGACAGUUAGCCUCUGUAUGGCAGGCACCCAAUUCUUCAGAGCUAAUCAGUAAUGGUUUUUUUAACUCUUAUAAGUGUUACUACCUGUAUCUAUUAAUGUCAUACCUGCCAGCAUCCUGGUCACUGAUGCUGGCAUAAAGUACCAACCUACCAAUUAAGUUUCAUCCUAGGUAAUCUACCUGAUUUAGAUUUAUUCAUACACAUCUCUUCGGUAGGGAUAAGUGUUAUAACCAUCAUUUUAGUUUAAAAAGUCUCUUUUCCAUAGCUGGUCUGUAAUACUGUAAAUAUGAUAUAUAUAAUGUGUUUGAGUAUAGUAUAUGUACAUUAAAAUUAACUUGCCUGUAGGGAACUGCAACUUAAUAUUUAUCUUACAGUUUUCAUUGUUACUGCAGCAAGUUUGUGCCUUUGUAAAAGUGAACAACAGAUUUUGUUUUCAGCCACUCAGUUGGUGUAGGUAAGUGAGAACCACCAUGUUUAUACUGUACUGUAUAUAAAUCAAAUAUUAAGAGGAAUAAGGAGAAUGUUAGUAAAUAAAUCUAGCAUUAAGGUGAAUAUAAGUAGGAAUUUGUAUCUACAAUACUCAGAUCAAACAGGAGGCAUUUUUCAUAUGUCGUUCUAAUAACUUUAGAUGUAGUGUGGCAGGGAGGCUCAAUGAUGCUAUUACAUAUUUUACACCAAUGAUAUACCCUUUUAAUUUAUUGAUAGUUGUAUUGCUUUGUAAAAAUUAUUAAUUACUCUGGAAAUUUGAUAGUUUUCAAAUUAUGUGCUAUAAUUUUUGUAAAAUAUAUGUAUUUAGCAGUUAUGGCUCUUAUGUCUCAGGAUUGUAUUGAAAUUUUGGUCUAUUUUAUCAAGAUGGCAUAUGAACUGUAUCAUGAAAAAAACAGCUUCAUAUUUAUGGGAGGGAAUAGCAGAAUUAUAUGAAGAGUAAAUACUUUAUCAUGUUUUACCUGACAAAAUGUACUUAGUGAGAAAUUAAAUGCAUACAUUGACUUGAUCAGACUAUAGUGUCAUUUAAUGUUUCACUUUAUAGAGAAAUCCAUCAUUACAAUAGAUUGUUUUGAGAGUAAGUACAGUACAGUUUUCCAAAAACUAGUAUUAAUUUUUUGCUAAGGUGUAAUAGGAAAUGCUACUUGUCACAAACAAACAGAAAAUUUUACAAAUUCAUUGUGCCAUAGUUCUGUAAAAUUCAGUUGUAAAUCACUGAUAUUUAAGCUCGUCCGAAGAGUUUGUUGACAGAUUGCUGUUUAUAAAAUUUAUAUCAAAUCCAAUCAGUCAGUGCAGAAAAAAUGUUUUACCGAUAAAAAGACAAGAAAGCACUUGUCUUUCUGUCAGUAAAACUAGUACAGGGUAUAUCCACUCUACCACUGCAAGAGGAUACAGGCAUUCCGCAGGUUUCAGAAAGGUUCCGUCCAGGAAAAUCUUUCCGAAAUGCAAAACCAUUUUCCCAUAUACAGUACAGUAAAACCUCGCUAAAGCAGACUAAUUGGGGGGAAGGGGUGUCCGGGAUAAGAGAUUUGAUAUUGAUAUUGUAACAGUUUAUUUAGCCAGAAUAACAGAUACAGAGUCGAUUAAUAAAAUCAUAAUACACAGUGGUUCCUCGGUUAACGAACAGUUCGAUUAACGAAAUUUCGGUUGACGAAUUAGCUUCCAUAAGGAAUUUCGGUUCGAUAAACGAACAAAACUUCGAUUAACGAAAUCGUUACGACAAACACGUUUUGUUUUGCACAUCAGCUGAUUGGCUAGUCCGCCAAUACAGUAAUUGAUUCUAUGUUUACAUUUGU